AGAAUUUGAUCUUGGUUCAGAUUGAAUGCUGACGGCGUGGAUGAGGCAUGCAAGUCGAACGAAGCCGUAAGCUUGCUUAUGGUUUAGUGGCGGAAGGGUUAGUAAUACAUGGAUGACCUGCCUUUUACCUGGGGAUAACGACUGGAAACGGUCGCUAAUACCGAAUGAGGUAGUUCAAGGGAAGCUUGAGCUAUGAAAGUGGGGGACCUUAGGGCCUUGCGGUAAGAGAGGGGUUCAUGGGAUAUCAGCUAGUUGGUAGGGUAAGAGCCUACCAAGGCAAAGACGUCUAGGCGAGUUGAGAGAUUGACCGCCAACACUGGGACUGAGACACUGCCCAGACUCCUACGGGAGGCUGCAGUCGAGAAUCUUUCGCAAUGGGGGAAACCCUGACGAAGCGACGCCGUGUGAGUGAACAAGGCCUUUGGGUUGUAAAGCUCUUUCGCUUGUGAACAAGAGAGUAGUGCAAAUAGCGCUAUGAUUUGAGGGUAGCAGGUAAAGAAGCACCGGCUAACUCCGUGCCAGCAGCUGCGGUAAUACGGAGGGUGCGAGCAUUAAUCGGAUUUAUUGGGCGUAAAGGGCGCGUAGGCGGAUUAGCGUGUCAGUUGUGAAAUUCUGGGGCUCAACCCCAGCGCUGCAAUUGAAACUGUUAGUCUAGAGGGUAGGCGGAGAAAAUGGAAUUCCACGUGUAGCGGUGAAAUGCGUAGAUAUGUGGAAGAACACCGGAGGCGAAGGCGGUUUUCUAGCCUAACCCAGACGCUGAGGCGCGAAAGCAAGGGGAGCAAACAGGAUUAGAUACCCUGGUAGUCCUUGCCGUAAACGAUGCAUACUUGAUGUGGAGGGUCUCAACCCCCUUUGUGUCGAAGCGAACGCGAUAAGUAUGCCGCCUGAGGAGUACGCCCGCAAGGGUGAAACUCAAAAGAAUUGACGGGGACCCGCACAAGCAGUGGAACAUGUGGUUUAAUUCGAUGCAACGCGAAGAACCUUACCCAGGCUUGACAUGCAGGAGACGCAAUCAGAGAUGAUUGUUCCCGCGAGGGCUUCUGUGCAGGUGCUGCAUGGCUGUCGUCAGCUCGUGCCGUGAGGUGUUGGGUUAAGUCCCGCAACGAGCGCAACCCUUAUCGUUAGUUGCCAACAUUAAGUUGGGGACUCUAGCGAGACUGCCCGGGUGAACCGGGAGGAAGGUGAGGAUGACGUCAAGUCCGCAUGGCCCUUAUGUCUGGGGCUACACACGUGUUACAAUGGUCGAUACAGAAGGCGGCGAAGCCGAGAGGUGGAGCAAAUCCUAGAAAGUCGAUCUCAGUCCGGAUUGUAGUCUGCAACUCGACUACAUGAAGCUGGAAUUGCUAGUAAUGGCGUGUCAGCAAUAACGCCGUGAAUACGUUCCCGGGUCUUGUACACACCGCCCGUCACAUCAUGGGAGUUGGUUUUGCCCGAAGACGCUGACUUAACCGCAAGGGAAGAGGUGUUUAAGGUGAGGCCGAUGACUGGGAUGAAGUCGUAACAAGGUA
This 1508-nucleotide ribosomal RNA is filed under the name metagenome. RNAcentral's name for it is "bacterial SSU rRNA". It matches the Rfam family "Bacterial small subunit ribosomal RNA". The record is from RNAcentral.